RNAcentral lists this ribosomal RNA (459 nucleotides) under uncultured bacterium. RNAcentral's name for it is "partial 16S ribosomal RNA". It matches the Rfam family "Bacterial small subunit ribosomal RNA", at positions 338 to 795 of the family's 1533-position model. The record is from RNAcentral.
CCUACGGUGGGCAGCAGUGAGGAAUAUUGGACAAUGGGCGGAAGCCUGAACCAGCCAAGUAGCGUGCGGGAUGAAGGCCCUACGGGUCGUAAACCGCUUUUGCACGGGGAUAACACCCUCCACUUGUGGAGGUGUGCAUGUACCGUACGAAUAAGGGCCGGUUAAUUCCGUGCCAGCAGCGGCGGUAAUACGGAGGGCCCGAGAGUUCUCCGGAUUCAUUGGGCUUAAAGGGAGCGUAGGCGGGCGUUAAAGUCAGCUUGAAAAUCGCGCGGCUCAACCGCGCCCCGCAGUUGAAACUGGACGCCUUGAGUUCACAACAGGCAGGCGGAAUUCGUGGUGUAGCGGUGAAAUGCAUAGAUAUCACGAGGAACCCCGAUUGCGAAGGCAGCCUGCCGGGGUGCGACUGACGCUGAGGCUCGAAGGUGCGGGUAUCAAACAGGAUUAGAUACCCUAGUAGUC